Molecule: ribosomal RNA, 475 nt
Filed under: uncultured bacterium
Lineage: Bacteria
Description: SSU rRNA
Rfam family: Bacterial small subunit ribosomal RNA
Source: RNAcentral
UCGGCUUAGAGUUUGAUCCUGGCUCAGAUUGAACGCUGGCGGCAUGCUUUACACAUGCAAGUCGAACGGCAGCACGGGGGCAACCCUGGUGGCGAGUGGCGAACGGGUGAGUAAUAUAUCGGAACAUGUCCGGAAGUGGGGGAUAACGUAGCGAAAGUUACGCUAAUACCGCAUAUGCCCUGAGGGGGAAAGGGGGGGAUCGCGAGACCUCUCGCUUUCGGAGUGGCCGAUAUCGGAUUAGCUAGUUGGUGGGGUAAAGGCUCACCAAGGCGACGAUCCGUAGCUGGUCUGAGAGGACGACCAGCCACACUGGGACUGAGACACGGCCCAGACUCCUACGGGAGGCAGCAGUGGGGAAUUUUGGACAAUGGGGGCAACCCUGAUCCAGCCAUGCCGCGUGAGUGAAGAAGGCCUUCGGGUUGUAAAGCUCUUUCAGACGGAAAGAAACGGUCACGGCCAAUAGGCCGUGACUAAU